UACAGAGGUGGCGAGCGUUGUUCGGAUUUACUGGGCGUAAAGGGCGCGUAGGCGGUACAGUAUGUCGGGUGUGAAAUCUCCAGGCUCAACCUGGAAAGUGCGCCCGAAACUGCUGAACUAGAGUACGGGAGGGGAGAUCGGAAUACAUGGUGUAGCGGUGAAAUGCGUUGAUAUCAUGUAGAACACCGGUGGCGAAGGCGGAUCUCUGGAACGUAACUGACGCUGAGGCGCGAAAGUCGGGGGAGCAAACAGG
This 253-nucleotide ribosomal RNA is filed under the name uncultured bacterium. RNAcentral's name for it is "partial 16S ribosomal RNA". It matches the Rfam family "Bacterial small subunit ribosomal RNA", at positions 524 to 776 of the family's 1533-position model. The record is from RNAcentral.